AGAACGAACGCUGGCGGCAGGCUUAACACAUGCAAGUCGAGCGCCUGUAGCAAUACAGGAGCGGCAGACGGGUGAGUAACACGUGGGAACGUGCCCAAAGGUACGGAACAACUCCGGGAAACUGGAGCUAAUACCGUAUGUGCCCGAGAGGGGAAAGAUUUAUCGCCUUUGGAUCGGCCCGCGUCUGAUUAGCUAGUUGGUGGGGUAAUGGCCCACCAAGGCGACGAUCAGUAGCUGGUCUGAGAGGAUGGCCAGCCACACUGGGACUGAGACACGGCCCAGACUCCUACGGGAGGCAGCAGUGGGGAUAUUGGACAAUGGGCGCAAGCCUGAUCCAGCCAUGCCGCGUGAGUGAUGAAGGCCUUAGGGUUGUAAAGCUCUUUCGCCAGGGACGAUAAUGACGGUACCUGGAUAAGAAGCCCGGCUAACUUCGUGCCAGCAGCCGC
This 446-nucleotide ribosomal RNA is filed under the name uncultured bacterium. Its description in RNAcentral is "SSU rRNA". It matches the Rfam family "Bacterial small subunit ribosomal RNA", at positions 26 to 518 of the family's 1533-position model. The record is from RNAcentral.